GGGAAGUGCGAGUGCUAUACAUGCAGUCGACGAACUCUGGUAUUGAUUGGUGCUUGCAUCAUGAUUUACAUUUGAGUGAGUGGCGAACUGGUGAGUAACACGUGGGAAACCUGCCCAGAAGCGGGGGAUAACACCUGGAAACAGAUGCUAAUACCGCAUAACAACUUGGACCGCAUGGUCCGAGCUUGAAAGAUGGCUUCGGCUAUCACUUUUGGAUGGUCCCGCGGCGUAUUAGCUAGAUGGUGGGGUAACGGCUCACCAUGGCAAUGAUACGUAGCCGACCUGAGAGGGUAAUCGGCCACAUUGGGACUGAGACACGGCCCAAACUCCUACGGGAGGCAGCAGUAGGGAAUCUUCCACAAUGGACGAAAGUCUGAUGGAGCAACGCCGCGUGAGUGAAGAAGGGUUUCGGCUCGUAAAACUCUGUUGUUAAAGAAGAACAUAUCUGAGAGUAACUGUUCAGGUAUUGACGGUAUUUAACCAGAAAGUCACGGCUAACUACGUGCCAGCAGCCGCGGUAAUACGUAGGUGGCAAGCGUUGUCCGGAUUUAUUGGGCGUAAAGCGAGCGCAGGCGGUUUUUUAAGUCUGAUGUGAAAGCCUUCGGCUCAACCGAAGAAGUGCAUCGGAAACUGGGAAACUUGAGUGCAGAAGAGGACAGUGGAACUCCAUGUGUAGCGGUGAAAUGCGUAGAUAUAUGGAAGAACACCAGUGGCGAAGGCGGCUGUCUGGUCUGUAACUGACGCUGAGGCUCGAAAGUAUGGGUAGCAAACAGGAUUAGAUACCCUGGUAGUCCAUACCGUAAACGAUGAAUGCUAAGUGUUGGAGGGUUUCCGCCCUUCAGUGCUGCAGCUAACGCAUUAAGCAUUCCGCCUGGGGAGUACGGCCGCAAGGCUGAAACUCAAAGGAAUUGACGGGGGCCCGCACAAGCGGUGGAGCAUGUGGUUUAAUUCGAAGCUACGCGAAGAACCUUACCAGGUCUUGACAUACUAUGCAAAUCUAAGAGAUUAGACGUUCCCUUCGGGGACAUGGAUACAGGUGGUGCAUGGUUGUCGUCAGCUCGUGUCGUGAGAUGUUGGGUUAAGUCCCGCAACGAGCGCAACCCUUAUUAUCAGUUGCCAGCAUUAAGUUGGGCACUCUGGUGAGACUGCCGGUGACAAACCGGAGGAAGGUGGGGAUGACGUCAAAUCAUCAUGCCCCUUAUGACCUGGGCUACACACGUGCUACAAUGGAUGGUACAACGAGUUGCGAACUCGCGAGAGUAAGCUAAUCUCUUAAAGCCAUUCUCAGUUCGGAUUGUAGGCUGCAACUCGCCUACAUGAAGUCGGAAUCGCUAGUAAUCGCGGAUCAGCAUGCCGCGGUGAAUACGUUCCCGGGCCUUGUACACACCGCCCGUCACACCAUGAGAGUUUGUAACACCCAAAGUCGGUGGGGUAACCUUUUAGGAACCAGCCGCCUAAUGGUGAUCAGAGUUCGGU
This 1476-nucleotide ribosomal RNA is filed under the name Lactiplantibacillus plantarum. RNAcentral describes it as "bacterial SSU rRNA". It matches the Rfam family "Bacterial small subunit ribosomal RNA". The record is from RNAcentral. Lineage: Bacteria; Bacillati; Bacillota; Bacilli; Lactobacillales; Lactobacillaceae.